This is a long non-coding RNA of Tigriopus californicus, 1458 nucleotides long. RefSeq lists it as uncharacterized. NCBI's taxonomy places the organism in Eukaryota, Metazoa, Arthropoda, Copepoda, Harpacticoida, Harpacticidae. The record is from RefSeq and is a predicted model, not a curated record. The transcript is spliced from 2 exons.
CUCUUCAAAUUCGAUAGGUGUCUUACAUCGAGUUCAGCUGUUGAUAACGCUGAUGACGUCAUGCUACAUGGGCAAAACAUCAUUCAGUGAUCGAGAAGGACGCCAGAAUCAGAGUGGUAAAUCGAGGAUUUAUUCAACAUGUGCCCUAGUUAGAACGUUUGGGUGGUCAAUCGGUGCCAAAACCAAUCGACCGUUUGAAUUUCUUUCCACUGUUUUCCUUCUCAUGUACCUGUUCACACAUUUACGAGUCCUUGGCCCGGCCUUGAUCCAUUUAUCAAUCGUGAGACGCCACGGUACUACUCUUUACUUUACGGUUGCUCAAGCAGUAGAGUGACCCACAUCCCUGCCGUGAACACGGCUUGAGCUCGUCAAGCAAGUGGUGGAUGGAUUACUUUACCUCAUACAAAGACAGAUUCAAUUUAGAUCAGAUCAGAGGCAACUGCAUCAUCCGCCCCUACAGAUUCUUGGCCGCUUAUUACUUGUGGUCAUAGCCGUCAUUCCGCCCUUGGCCGACACAUACGGCCAUGAUCGAUCCUCUGCACUUUGAGGCCCACGCUUCAAGACAAUCCAGCCCCUUAUUGCCGUUCUCCCGCCCGUUUCCCACCCACCAGUGUUGUCCAUGAAAACGAAAGCUUAGAGACCGGGUCUAGCUCUUCGACUGACUCACUCGAUUGGCGGUUGCUUGGCUUUAAUGGUCCAUAAAUCGUUCCCACCGGCCCUGGAUUGACUGGAUGGUUUCAACCAAUACUAUUGAAAACACGCCAAGCAACUCUCCACGAAACGUGGAUCAAGAAUAGCCUUCAUGUCAAUGGCAUCAUGACCCAGGCCAUGGAUUUUCAUUGCCCUCCACCAACUCCACAUUAACCGAAGUCGUCAAUAGCUUUUACUACUGUUUGACUAUAUUUCACCCAGCCAACUAUAUUUUGUUAAUGAUUUAUCAACAAGUCAAGGAUGCGGGACCUUCCCAGCGCUCAUCUUCGUCUAUGGCCUUCGCUUAUGGCGUCCCAGCUCCCCCAGCUCAUCCUGAAAGUGGCCAAUGACUAUCUUUUCAAAUUACUCAGGACAUACCUCUAGGGGUUCAAGUAUGCCAAUAAUGCAUGGAUGCAUUUCAUGAGCAAAUUUGAGCCCCUUGCCAUUGACUGAACAAUUGUUGGAAACCUGACCUUUUUGGAUGCAAUUUCCGGACAAACCAUGCUCUUCCAGGUCAACAAUGUGGCAUCAUAUCAUUGUCCUGGGACCAACAUUUCUUUGGAAUAUUGACGGUCGCACCCAAUUGUCCGGCCACAAGAUUGGCAAUCUGUCCAAUCGAGCCAUCCUCUACUCUACAACUAUCAAAAUUUCCAUCACUAUUCCUCUUCAAUAGCGUUUAUCUUACUUCAUCCUGAAAAUUGAGCUGAUUGUUGUCAAUGUCAUCUGUAUUUUCACCUGGUUAUCAAUAUACAUAUCAAUUAAACCCUG